Molecule: ribosomal RNA, 425 nt
Filed under: uncultured bacterium
Lineage: Bacteria
Description: partial 16S ribosomal RNA
Rfam family: Bacterial small subunit ribosomal RNA
Source: RNAcentral
GUGGGGAAUCUUAGACAAUGGGGGAAACCCUGAUCUAGCCAUGCCGCGUGAGCGAUGAAGGCCUUAGGGUUGUAAAGCUCUUUCAGAGGGGAAGAUAAUGACGGUACCCUCAGAAGAAGCCCCGGCUAACUCCGUGCCAGCAGCCGCGGUAAUACGGAGGGGGCUAGCGUUGUUCGGAAUUACUGGGCGUAAAGCGCACGUAGGCGGACCAGAAAGUCAGGGGUGAAAUCCCGGGGCUCAACCCCGGAACUGCCUUUGAAACUCCUGGUCUUGAGGUCGAGAGAGGUGAGUGGAAUUCCGAGUGUAGAGGUGAAAUUCGUAGAUAUUCGGAGGAACACCAGUGGCGAAGGCGGCUUACUGGUCCAUUACUGACGCUGAGGUGCGAAAGCGUGGGGAGCAAACAGGAUUAGAAACCCCGGUAGUCC